ACCAAAGACCGUAGGACAGCUUAAAAAAUACAAAUAUUAAAAUUCCGGGCGAGCAGCGGCAGCAAGUCGCGCCAGCGUUCACUCUAGAACCGGAUAAAUAAAUUAAUACUGCGUUAAUGUGUCAAAAUUUACCACACCAACUUAACAGGUUAACAUUGGCAGCCUUAAUAUAUUGAUGUUUGUUGAGUCAUGGUACCCUGAUCUUAUGAGUGGGGGUUAAGAGGUCAAGUUACUGUAAGGUGCAUCACCUAACUGCUGUUGCUGAUUAAACCUUGUUUAAAGGUUCUGUGUUUAAUUCCUGACAGACAGAACAUCUGUUCUCACUGAUACUCUUCCUCUGACUGACACGUCCGUGCAUCAGCUGAACCCAUCAUCAUGGCCAUGUAUGGAGAGGCAGUGCUCACUCAUUCAGCAGCCUCAGGUCACUACAGGGAUGUAAGCUAGUUCCAGGGCUGGGAUUUAUCAUUAAUGGUGGCGCAAUAAUGAGGAUUUUGUGGUGGAAGUCUUUGAUGGUGCAAUGUGGGUCUGCUCAAAACAUGUUGACAAGCUACCGAGACAGCCAUGAACUCUAUUAACUCUCUGAACAGAGCCUCAGAGGAGAUUCAGAAGAUAAUAAAACAUACUAAAGUUAAGGUAUGUAUCUUUUUCUAUCAUUCUUUCUAGACAUUCCUAGAUAUAGAGCACAUGUAGCUCAUGUUAUUUAGGUAAUUGCAGUGUGUUACAACUAAACACUUUUUUCUUAUCUAGUAGGAAAACAUACAGAUCCAGAGAGAGAGAGGGAGAGUAUGUGUGUGUGUGUGUUUUAGUGACGACAGGUUCAGACAGGGUCUAUGACGAUUUUGUGGGAGUGUGUAUGAGGUGAGCUGAGGGUGUACAGAGCACAGAGAGAAAGCUGAGCUUUGAGAGAGAACACACUACAGUUCACAAAACAGUGAAAACCUCACUUUGGCAACACAAUGACGAUUGGCAAGAGUUCAAAGAAGAGCAAAGCCCCUCGCUCCCCUCCUUUUCUGGACCGGGCCAGUGGAUUCUACGGACGCUUAGAUGAAACUGAAGCAGAGGUUGGGAAAGAAGUGGAGACUGGAGAGAAAGAACCACAAACAAAGCCAGGAGUUGGACCAAGCAGCAUAGAUGAGCAGGAGCAUGGCAUUUCUGACUUCAGCGAGGGCAUGAUGGAGGACGAUGGUGCCACCCUUCUGCACAGGAAGCCCAGCCGCCUGAGCCGCCGCUGGAGCAGGAAAAGCUCCAGGAAGAACAAGGCUGAGAAGAGCUGCCAGAGCAGGGCAGAUAAAACUGAAACAGCUUCUCCUGUGGAACAGAAAUUGGAUGUGCAAACAGAAAGCAAAGCUGAACCUGCACCUGCCAGCGAGGCUCCAGAACCAGUGCUGGUCCAUUUCUCCAUUAGAGAAGAAGCUGAUGAUCAAGUGCUCAUCUCAGCAAGGAGGGAGAGACAGGUGGAGAUUGAGGAGAAGACGAGAGAAGGAGAAAUUGAGGAGAAAUCAGGUGAAGAAAAUAUGAAGGUCGUGAAAAGGAGCACACUAAAGAAUUAUCGCAAGGCUUUUGACAGAGCACUCCGCCGAGGCUGGGAGACCUUCGUAGCGAACCUGUACAGUGUUACGCUGACUCCAAUCUCACCCUCCUCUUCUUCAUCAUCUCCACCAGCAUCAUCCACAAUGAACAGAAACGUUGCUUUAGCAGAAUACAGAUAAUACAAGAUCAGAAUAGCUUUUUAUACAUUUCAGUUAAUGAUUGACUGUGAAUGUGUUUAGAUAUAAUAUUUAUUAUUAUGCUUUUGGGAGCUGUUUUUUUUGUUGAUAAUUUUCUAUUGAUCCUUUUAAUUAAUUCACAAUUAUGACUGAUCUAUAAACUGUACAAGAUUUAUAACACAUAGUACAGCUCAGGGUUUAUAAUUGCACUAAUGGAAUGUGAUAUUAUAUCCAGUUGAGUCAUUGGUGCUAAUGUGUUAUUUGUUUUAUGGUCCUACAUUUAGUAAAAUUUAGGAUUGUCUUGUUUUAGGAUGGUUUGUGAUGCAUAACCUGAGAGAACAGGAUUAAUAUGCUUAAUUCUGAAUAUUUGGCUUUUGGUGUAAAUUAAUUAUUCAGUCCUGGUUUAUUAUUUAAGCAGGAUGCUGUUCCUGUUUACACAAACACAUGCAGAGCAUGUACCAAACCCUCCUCACAUCACCUAUUGGAGUGUUUUGGGAGUUUUUCCAGAUGUGUAACUGAAGAGCUGGGAACAGAAUAAUGGAGACAGAGUCAGCCGUUUGUCUUUAGACAGGUUACUGAGGAUGGGCUGAAAUCUCCAGUUCUGGGAGCUCUAAUUAAAAUAAAUGUAUUUUUAAACAUUUUAAACA
Molecule: long non-coding RNA, 2353 nt
Filed under: Astyanax mexicanus (Mexican tetra)
Lineage: Eukaryota; Metazoa; Chordata; Actinopteri; Characiformes; Acestrorhamphidae
Description: lncRNA (ENSAMXG00005012460.1)
Source: RNAcentral